Molecule: long non-coding RNA, 684 nt
Organism: Homo sapiens (human)
Lineage: Eukaryota; Metazoa; Chordata; Mammalia; Primates; Hominidae
Source: Ensembl
AGAAGCUGGUCUGGCAAUCCUCAUGGCACGUAAAGAGGCGGUCAUCCGUGAGGACCAGGCAGCAGGAUUUCCGGGGAUCUCAGAGCCUAAGUUCUAAGAUACAGAAAACCGCGUCUCUCGGUCCCAAAGCAGGCUCCUGCCAAGCCCAUGUGUUCUUGCUCCGGCUCCUGUGAUUCUCCUCAGCACACGCAGUUGCACCCAAGAGGAGCCCUGAGAGCAGGGCAAGGAGACACUGCCCUGGCAGCUGCAGUUGCACAAUCUCCAAAUUGCUGAGGGGACACCUCCAUCCAUGGAUCCAUCCUUGCCCUGGCUCUUCCGGCAAGGCCCACCCCUCCAACUCCUCUAAGGUGGCCCAUGGGCCCAACCUAAGGAGACUGUGCCGCCUUCUUCAGCUUGCACGGAGAUAAAGAGGGGAAAAUGGCCAGUUUUAUCCAUGAACACCAGGGCCUAAGGUUUGAAAGAAACCAGGCUGUUCCAGUAAAUCAUUGGGUCAAGACAACAAAAUGACCUGCAGCUUCUUCCUCGGUCCCUGAUGCAAAGGGUGCGACCAUCCCAAACACAUCAGCGAGCGCAGAAGGAACUCAGAGAAAUCGGACGGACACACAGGACACAGUGGCAAGGUUUCCCUGCGCUUCAGACCUGCCUGGUUCUCUCUUCUUCUAGGGGUUGCUUAACCUCCUUCUG